This 207-nucleotide long non-coding RNA is filed under the name Panax ginseng (ginseng). Its description in RNAcentral is "long non-coding RNA (PGIN_LNC014952)". The record is from RNAcentral. Lineage: Eukaryota; Viridiplantae; Streptophyta; Magnoliopsida; Apiales; Araliaceae.
AAAAAACUGAUAUUUUCAUGUCACAUAUAGUUUUUGUGAUAAUAUUGUACGUUUGUACUGCACUAAUUCCGAAUCUCCCGCGCCUAAGCCCUAACCGGCUCUAAUUCUCAACUCCUCCGUUUGAUUUCUCCGGCCACCGCCAGAUUUUCUACUGGAAAGAUUUAUCUCGUGAGAUUUAUUGAAGAUCACCAGCCAUUCGAACUCUUU